Molecule: transfer RNA, 72 nt
Filed under: compost metagenome
Description: tRNA-Met
Rfam family: tRNA
About the family: Transfer RNA (tRNA) molecules are approximately 80 nucleotides in length.
Source: RNAcentral
AGCGAGUUAGAGAAAGGGAAUCUCGAUAGCCUCAUUAGCUAUAGUUCUAGGUUCGAAUCCUAGGUUCGCAAC